GGGUGCAGACGCUGACAACUGGAAGCCUGUUCUGCAAUAUAUAGUAGUUCAGAAUAUGCCAGCCAGCUUCUCCUCUCCCCAGUUCCUUUCAUGUACAGGACAAAUACAUUUCAGGGAAAAGAACAGUCUGACUUGGAUUGUAAAUAUGCAAUUAGUAGCUGGAGUAGAAGUAAAAGCAGAAAAUGUCAACUGUCAAGUAGCUCCAUUGAAAGACACAUGAUGCUUCAAGCUAAGACAGAAAGACAAAAGCAUCUACCAACAAGGAUGAAGGCUGCAAAAUCUCUCUUUAAAUAUUCCAUUAAUCUCUUCCAUGAAAUAAAUACAGUCAAUACAUCCAGGAAUGAGGAAUCCACUAUCAAAACUGCAGUUUACUUUUUCAAUAAAGCUCUGUGUGGUAAUAAUAUACUCCAUUGCCAGUAGACAUUCUGGAUCUCAUGUCUGUUAUAAUUCACAACAUAUAGCCUUUUAUGUUACGUAUCGCUGGCCAUAUCCCAGCAACGUUACCGAUUUUCCAAAAAUAUACAUGUGAAAAGAGUGCAAAGCAUCAUUGUACUCUGUACUAUAUUUCCAUUCUAGACCAAAACUUCUAACUCUGCUUCCAAACAGUAGAUUUCUUUUAAGUCCUCUCUACUAAAACCUUUAUACAUUUUGGCUCUCAUAUGCGACAGCUGACUCUACUUUAGUCCAGAAUUGUGGGAGAAGAAUGCUGAAAGGAAGCAAGAGGGUUGUAUAGAGAUAUUCAUUUUCAUCAUCAAGUCAAGCAAAAUGCUUUGGUGCAACAUGUUAUAUAUCUUAAGGCACUAUAAAAGGUCUUAAUAAUUACAGGAGGCUCCUCUCUAGGCACUCCUAGUUAUUCACAUUACUAGGGGAGGUUUGUUGUGAGACAAAAUUAAAAGAAUAAGGCUAGUUUUAACCUAUGCAUGUAAAGACUUUGCCAAGCCAAGAGAAGCAGAGAGAUGAACUCUUGCCUGCACAGCUGCCCUCUUAAACCAUCAUAUUAGCCUUGGCUUAACCUUCAUGUGUUUUCUCAAAAGCAGCUACCACAGAGUUCCUCUGGGUUUAAUGCUGUGAAAAAAGUGGUUGUUCGAUUGUUGUUAAAUAUUAAAAGGAAUAACCUGCCUACCAACAAAAGGUUUUGGUAACUUUCUGGCCAUGAAAUUAGUGACUCAAUUAUUAUUAUUACGUUAUAUAUAUAUAUUUUUAAUUUUAUUAUAUUUUUAUAACUUUCAAAGAGGUAAAAUAAGUGUUUCUAUUAAUCUUACAUUGCAGAUUUCCACAUGUUACUGGUUAUGCAUAUUCAAUUUUAUUCUAAGUUUUCACAGUUCUUACCAUUUUAGUUUUAUCUGUCAUGUGUUAGCUAAUGUGUCUGUUAUGCUUGAGGUAUAUAAUCUAAAAAUGGCACAUAUAUCCUGUAAUCUAAUAGGAUAACACCUAAAAAUAUAUCUUAAAAAGCAUUUAUACAAUGUUAGACAGCUGUGGUAUUGAUCAAAAUGGAAAACAAGUGCACUAGUAGUGUCUCCAUUACAUUAUAAAUAAAUUUUAUUCCUGUAAAUCCUACUGAUGAUUCUUUGGUGAUUCAGCUGUUUUGCACUGGUAAGACAGGUGAGAUUGCUGAGCAGUCUCACAUGCCAUGGUCUCCUAUGGGGCUGGGAUCCCAAGCACACUGCUGCAGGUGUGUGUAUCCUCUCUGCACCCAGAGUGCUUCACUACCAUCAUCACAGCUUUUGACAGAGCUCCACGAUAACAGAUGUGUGGGCUUAUAUUCUACUUCUUUUCUGGCAUGCGAUAGAUGACACAAAAAAUAAUCAGGUUUGAAAAGGAUUUUUUUAUUUUAUUUUUAACAGCAUAAUUAAAAAGUUUCUUGACCUAUGUAAAGUCUGAA
Molecule: long non-coding RNA, 1882 nt
Organism: Oxyura jamaicensis (ruddy duck)
Lineage: Eukaryota; Metazoa; Chordata; Aves; Anseriformes; Anatidae
Exons: 2
Source: RefSeq, a predicted model, not a curated record